AUUCCAGCUCCAAUAGCGUAUAUUAAAGUUGUUGCGGUAAAAAAGCUCGUAGUUGGAUUUCUGUUGGGGAUGACCGGUCCGUACCACGUACGCGCAUCUGGAUCAGCCACGACAUCCUCACGAUGCACGGUUCUGCGCUUGAUUGCGUGGUUCGUAUCUCGUGACUUUUACUUUGAGGAAAUUAGAGUGUUCACGGCAGGCUAUCGCCAGAAUACAUUAGCAUGGAAUAAUACUAUAGGAUCUCGGUUCUAUUUUGUUGGUUUCUAGCACCGAGGUAAUGAUUAAUAGGGACAAACGGGGGCAUUCGUAUCAACACGUCAGAGGUGGAAUUCUUGGAUUGUGUUGCGACGAACUACUGCGAAAGCAUCUGCCAUGCAUGUUUUCAUUA
This 388-nucleotide ribosomal RNA is filed under the name Syndiniales sp. RNAcentral's name for it is "partial small subunit ribosomal RNA". It matches the Rfam family "Eukaryotic small subunit ribosomal RNA", at positions 582 to 975 of the family's 1831-position model. The record is from RNAcentral. Lineage: Eukaryota; Dinophyceae; Syndiniales.